RNAcentral lists this ribosomal RNA (495 nucleotides) under uncultured bacterium. RNAcentral's name for it is "partial 16S ribosomal RNA". It matches the Rfam family "Bacterial small subunit ribosomal RNA", at positions 28 to 507 of the family's 1533-position model. The record is from RNAcentral.
GACGAACGCUGGCGGCGUGCCUAAUACAUGCCAGUCGAACGCUGAAGGAGGAGCUUGCUUCUCUGGAUGAGUUGCGAACGGGUGAGUAACGCGUAGGUAACCUGCCUGGUAGCGGGGGAUAACUAUUGGAAACGAUAGCUAAUACCGCAUAACAGUAGAUAUCGCAUGAUAUCUACUUGAAAGGUGCAAUUGCAUCACUACCAGAUGGACCUGCGUUGUAUUAGCUAGUUGGUGAGGUAACGGCUCACCAAGGCGACGAUACAUAGCCGACCUGAGAGGGUGAUCGGCCACACUGGGACUGAGACACGGCCCAGACUCCUACGGGAGGCAGCAGUAGGGAAUCUUCGGCAAUGGACGGAAGUCUGACCGAGCAACGCCGCGUGAGUGAAGAAGGUUUUCGGAUCGUAAAGCUCUGUUGUAAGAGAAGAACGAGUGUGAGAGUGGAAAGUUCACACUGUGACGGUAUCUUACCAGAAAGGGACGGCUAACUACGUG